UACGUAGGUGGCAAGCGUUAUCCGGAUUUAUUGGGUGUAAAGGGCGUGUAGGCGGGAGCGCAAGUCAGAUGUGAAAACUCAGGGCUCAACCCUGAGCCUGCAUUUGAAACUGUGUUUCUUGAGUGCUGGAGAGGCAAUCGGAAUUCCGUGUGUAGCGGUGAAAUGCGUAGAUAUACGGAGGAACACCGGUGGCGAAAGCGGCUCUCUGGCCUGUAACUGACACUGAGGCUCGAAAGCGUGGGGAGCAAACAGG
RNAcentral lists this ribosomal RNA (253 nucleotides) under uncultured bacterium. Its description in RNAcentral is "partial 16S ribosomal RNA". It matches the Rfam family "Bacterial small subunit ribosomal RNA", at positions 524 to 776 of the family's 1533-position model. The record is from RNAcentral.